RNAcentral lists this ribosomal RNA (542 nucleotides) under Anabaena sp. Berrow. RNAcentral describes it as "bacterial SSU rRNA". It matches the Rfam family "Bacterial small subunit ribosomal RNA", at positions 108 to 683 of the family's 1533-position model. Lineage: Bacteria; Bacillati; Cyanobacteriota; Cyanophyceae; Nostocales; Nostocaceae. The record is from RNAcentral.
GAGUAACGCGUGAGAAUCUGGCUUCAGGUCGGGGACAACAGUUGGAAACGACUGCUAAUACCGGAUAUGCCGAGAGGUGAAAGAUUAAUUGCCUGGAGAUGAGCUCGCGUCUGAUUAGCUAGUUGGUGGGGUAAGAGCCUACCAAGGCGACGAUCAGUAGCUGGUCUGAGAGGAUGAUCAGCCACACUGGGACUGAGACACGGCCCAGACUCCUACGGGAGGCAGCAGUGGGGAAUUUUCCGCAAUGGGCGAAAGCCUGACGGAGCAAUACCGCGUGAGGGAGGAAGGCUCUUGGGUCGUAAACCUCUUUUCUCAGGGAAGAAAAAAAUGACGGUACCUGAGGAAUAAGCAUCGGCUAACUCCGUGCCAGCAGCCGCGGUAAUACGGAGGAUGCAAGCGUUAUCCGGAAUGAUUGGGCGUAAAGGGUCCGCAGGUUGCAAUGUAAGUCUGCUGUUAAAGAGUGAGGCUCAACCUCAUAAAAGCAGUGGAAACUACAUAGCUAGAGUACGUUCGGGGCAGAGGGAAUUCCUGGUGUAGCGGUG